RNAcentral lists this long non-coding RNA (315 nucleotides) under Pan troglodytes (chimpanzee). RNAcentral's name for it is "long non-coding RNA NONPTRT017479". Lineage: Eukaryota; Metazoa; Chordata; Mammalia; Primates; Hominidae. The record is from RNAcentral.
GCCGCACCACCGUCCACGCGGCGUCUGCUGAGCAGAAACGGGCAAAGGAGAGGCAUCACUGGGCGGCAGAGGCCAGCAACAAGAGGCAAAGCAGACCGGUCUUUUAUGUGAAUUAACGUUUAAUUGAAAUUUACAUUACUGCAUGUUUGCCGCGAUUUGAGGAGUUGGACCUGUGUAACAAUGUACUGAGCCAGAACUCAGCCUCUAAGAGAAAGCAUAUUGGAAGAACUGAUGACCAAACUUUUGUGACGUCACGCCUAAAAAUGUAUCAUGCAAGAAAGCAUGCAAACUCUGAAGCACAGUGUAAAACACUGA